CGAUGCUACCGCAGGGCAGCUGACGUCAUCGGCAGGCCCUGGAGACACUGCUGCAGUUACCGGGUCUCUAGGGCCGCGUCCCCUGACAGGAAGGCGGCGUUGGAGGGUGGCUGGGUUUACCCUUCGGGCCAAUAUCUUCAGUUACUGAAGAUAAAUACAACUUGGCAAUGACUGUUUAUAGCGCCCUGAAAAAGAAUGGCUGCCAAUUUCCCUGUAUAUUACAAAGACAAAAGUAGCAUUGCCUCUUUUCUCACCUAACUUUAAACAUCUUCAAGGAAGUGCAUUACAGGAAGGCAAUGAACAAAGGCUCAACAGUUCAUAGUAAAGGUCAGGUGCCACUUGUGGCUUGUGUCUGUAAUCUCAGCACUUUC
Long non-coding RNA from Cebus imitator (Panamanian white-faced capuchin), 371 nucleotides. RefSeq lists it as uncharacterized. Lineage: Eukaryota; Metazoa; Chordata; Mammalia; Primates; Cebidae. The transcript is spliced from 3 exons. The record is from RefSeq and is a predicted model, not a curated record.